UUGCAUCGACGACAUGCUGAUUCGCGAUUACUAGCGAUUCCGACUUCAUGGAGGCGAGUUGCAGACUGCAAUCCGGACUAGAAUCGGGUUUUUGGGAUUGGCUCCCCCUCGCGGCUUGGCUACCCUUUGUACCGGCCAUUGUAGCACGUGUGUAGCCCUGGGCGUGGGGGCAUGAUGACUUGACGUCAUCCCCACCUUCCUCCGGUUUGUCACCGGCAGUCUCCUUAAAGUGCCCACCCUAACGUGCUGGGUCAAAGGAAAAGGGUUGCGCUCGUUGCGGGACUUACCCCAACAUCUCAAGACCAGAGCUGACCACCGCCAUGCACCACCUGUUUCCGAGUUCCCAAAGGCACCAACCCUUCUCGGAAAAUUUCUAAACAUGUCAAGGCCGGAAGCUUUC
RNAcentral lists this ribosomal RNA (400 nucleotides) under uncultured Pseudomonas sp. RNAcentral describes it as "partial 16S ribosomal RNA". Lineage: Bacteria; Pseudomonadati; Pseudomonadota; Gammaproteobacteria; Pseudomonadales; Pseudomonadaceae. The record is from RNAcentral.